Molecule: ribosomal RNA, 490 nt
Filed under: uncultured bacterium
Lineage: Bacteria
Description: partial 16S ribosomal RNA
Rfam family: Bacterial small subunit ribosomal RNA
Source: RNAcentral
AUUGAACGCUGGCGGCAUGCCUUACACAUGCAAGCCGAACGGCAUCGCGGGAAAGCUUGCUUUCCUGGCGGCGAGUGGCGAACGGGUGAGUAACACAUCGGAACGUACCGGCUAGUGGGGGAUAACCCGUCGAAAGACGGGCUAAUACCGCAUACGCUCUUCGGAGGAAAGCAGGGGACCUUUGGGCCUUGCGCUAGCCGAGCGGCCGAUGUCCGAUUAGCUAGUUGGUGGGGUAAAGGCCUACCAAGGCGACGAUCGGUAGCGGGUCUGAGAGGACGAUCCGCCACACUGGGACUGAGACACGGCCCAGACUCCUACGGGAGGCAGCAGUGGGGAAUCUUGGACAAUGGGGGCAACCCUGAUCCAGCAAUGCCGCGUGGGUGAAGAAGGCCUUCGGGUUGUAAAGCCCUUUCGGCAGGGAAGAAAUCGGCGGGGCGAAUAACCCUGCUGGAUGACGGUACCUGCAGAAGAAGCACCGGCUAACUACGUG